This 484-nucleotide ribosomal RNA is filed under the name uncultured Clostridium sp. RNAcentral's name for it is "bacterial SSU rRNA". It matches the Rfam family "Bacterial small subunit ribosomal RNA", at positions 907 to 1392 of the family's 1533-position model. Lineage: Bacteria; Bacillati; Bacillota; Clostridia; Eubacteriales; Clostridiaceae. The record is from RNAcentral.
GAAUUGACGGGGGCCCGCACAAGCAGUGGAGUAUGUGGUUUAAUUCGAAGCAACGCGAAGAACCUUACCAGGGCUUGACAUACAGAGGGAUAUGUCAGAGAUGGCAUAGCUCUUCGGAGCCUCUGUACAGGUGGUGCAUGGUUGUCGUCAGCUCGUGUCGUGAGAUGUUGGGUUAAGUCCCGCAACGAGCGCAACCCUUGUUGUUAGUUGGUAACACGUAAAGGUGACCACUCUAACGAGACUGCCGGUGACAAAUCGGAGGAAGGUGGGGACGACGUCAAAUCAUCAUGCCCCUUAUGUCCUGGGCUACACACGUACUACAAUGGCUACAACAAAGGGAAGCGAAGCCGUAAGGCGGAGCAAAUCCCCAAAAGUAGUCCCAGUUCGGAUUGUGGGCUGCAACCCGCCCACAUGAAGUCGGAAUUGCUAGUAAUGGCAGGUCAGCAUACUGCCGUGAAUACGUUCCCGGGCCUUGUACACACCG